This 80-nucleotide small RNA is filed under the name Nocardioides lianchengensis. Its description in RNAcentral is "Nocardioides sp. D94-1 NoRC associated RNA, pRNA". It matches the Rfam family "NoRC associated RNA, pRNA". The record is from Rfam by way of RNAcentral. Lineage: Bacteria; Bacillati; Actinomycetota; Actinomycetes; Propionibacteriales; Nocardioidaceae.
CGACGGCCGACCUCUGGGACGGCCGGGUCGCGCACUUCCAGGUCGUCGACGCGGUCGGCGGCUACGUCCGGGUCCGGGUG